AGUGAACGCUGGCGGUAGGCCUAACACAUGCAAGUCGAACGGCAGCACAGUAAGAGCUUGCUCUUACGGGUGGCGAGUGGCGGACGAGUGAGGAAUACAUCGGAAUCUACUUUUUCGUGGGGGAUAACGUAGGGAAACUUACGCUAAUACCGCAUACGACCUACGGGUGAAAGCAGGGGAUCUUCGGACCUUGCGCGAUUGAAUGAGCCGAUGUCGGAUUAGCUAGUUGGCGGGGUAAAGGCCCACCAAGGCGACGAUCCGCAGCUGGUCUGAGAGGAUGAUCAGCCACACUGGAACUGAGACACGGUCCAGACUCCUACGGGAGGCAGCAGUGGGGAAUAUUGGACAAUGGGCGCAAGCCUGAUCCAGCCAUACCGCGUGGGUGAAGAAGGCCUUCGGGUUGUAAAGCCCUUUUGUUGGGAAAGAAAAGCAGCAGGUUAAUACCCCGCUGUUCUGACGGUACCCAAAGAAUAAGCACCGGCUAACUUCGUG
Molecule: ribosomal RNA, 492 nt
Filed under: uncultured bacterium
Lineage: Bacteria
Description: partial 16S ribosomal RNA
Rfam family: Bacterial small subunit ribosomal RNA
Source: RNAcentral